AACUUUCUUAGUACAACGAGUACAUAUGACUUCCAAUUAUGAUAUCUUGGUUUAAAUCCAAGAGAAAGUA
RNAcentral lists this transfer RNA (70 nucleotides) under Limnonectes kuhlii (Kuhl's wart frog). Its description in RNAcentral is "tRNA-Gly". It matches the Rfam family "tRNA". From Rfam's summary of the family: Transfer RNA (tRNA) molecules are approximately 80 nucleotides in length. The record is from RNAcentral. Lineage: Eukaryota; Metazoa; Chordata; Amphibia; Anura; Dicroglossidae.